This 585-nucleotide ribosomal RNA is filed under the name uncultured bacterium. RNAcentral's name for it is "bacterial SSU rRNA". It matches the Rfam family "Bacterial small subunit ribosomal RNA", at positions 338 to 916 of the family's 1533-position model. The record is from RNAcentral.
CCUACGGGAGGCAGCAGUGGGGAAUUUUGGACAAUGGGCGAAAGCCUGAUCCAGCCAUGCCGCGUGCAGGAUGAAGGCCUUCGGGUUGUAAACUGCUUUUGUACGGAACGAAAAGCCUCUUUCUAAUAAAGAGGGGUCAUGACGGUACCGUAAGAAUAAGCACCGGCUAACUACGUGCCAGCAGCCGCGGUAAUACGUAGGGUGCGAGCGUUAAUCGGAAUUACUGGGCGUAAAGCGUGCGCAGGCGGUUAUAUAAGACAGUUGUGAAAUCCCCGGGCUCAACCUGGGAACUGCAUCUGUGACUGUAUAGCUAGAGUACGGUAGAGGGGGAUGGAAUUCCGCGUGUAGCAGUGAAAUGCGUAGAUAUGCGGAGGAACACCGAUGGCGAAGGCAAUCCCCUGGACCUGUACUGACGCUCAUGCACGAAAGCGUGGGGAGCAAACAGGAUUAGAUACCCUGGUAGUCCACGCCCUAAACGAUGUCAACUGGUUGUUGGGAAUUCACUUUCUCAGUAACGAAGCUAACGCGUGAAGUUGACCGCCUGGGGAGUACGGCCGCAAGGUUGAAACUCAAAUGAAAUUGAGG